GCUCGAACCCACGACCCUGAGAUUAAGAGUCUCAUGCUCUACCGACUGAGCUAGCCGGGCAGUUAGAAAAGCGCCUCCCCCAAUUUAUUAUGAGGACGUACACAUUCUGUUUGAGACUGCUAGGGCCACAGGAUUCUGGAUUUUCUUUGUUUUUGUUUUACAAGGGGGACGACAUGAAAGGCAAGCAUAUAAGCAUUAUCUGAAAUUUUUUUUUACUUCUCCACCAUCAAGGCUUACACACACAGAUAAGGGAGGGGAGGUGCGAUUUCAUUUUAAUAUAAAAUAUUUGACAACCCCGAAAUACAGGAUCCAGUUUAUUUUUUUUAUGUUUUGUCUACCACUGACUGCAGAAGUUCAUUAAAUCUAAUAGAUGCUAAACAAAUACAUGCUUAAAGAGUGCACCAACAUCUCUGCAGGAGGCGAGAGAAAGUGCCCCUUCCCAAUAAGGAAGCAGAACCCCAGUCUCCUGAAAGAUGGGGGAAUAGUCAACGCUAUGCUAACGAGGAAAGCCGAAAUCUCUGGUACAAAAAUUGCCAAAACCCCAACCCUAUAGCUCACGGUUUCAUUUUUCCAUUAAAAAAAAAAAAAAAAAAGCAUGAAUGGUGGACGACACUGAAUCGAGAUGCGACCAUCGUCUAGAAGAACCAGGAACAUGAGCCUUUGCAAGAAUCACUUCAGAGCUGAUGGAACACGGAAUAAAAGGUGCCGGCGUGGCGGGCACUAUUUCGAGGGCAGUGUUUGGACAUUUCACAAACAGAGUAGAGAAGAAUAUUUCUCAAGGAGAGGAUGGAAAACGAAGCAUUGGCCCGUACGGGGAUCGAACCCGCGACCUUGGCGUUAUUAGCACCACGCUCUAACCAACUGAGCUAACCGGCCAACCGCGUCGCUUCCGACGUCCAGAUAAGAAGGUAUUCUUAUUGUUGCUUUUUACUCUGUAAGCAGCUUGGGAUACGCGAGAUGCGGGCUUUGCCCCUCGCUCCCCCCCGAGCUAGGUAGGCUUCGUCCUUUUCCCAAUACUUGUCCUUUUUUUUUUUUUUCGCGCCAUGACGCAGCAACGAGGCGCUAGCAAUACCCCCUUGUCCCCUCUCUGUAUUUUCAGACCAAGAUUAUCUCUGCCUUUGAAGGCCAGCCAGAUACUACAAACAGCCUGUCAUCAAUGGGCCCGGGGCUGAUUUCCAGGCUGCUCUGCUUCAGCCGUCUCUCCCUUGGGUGUUUUUAUCUACGUUUCCACUUUUAUUAGUUUCAGAUAAAGAGAUCCCCAAAUAUCUUAUUUAUCCUGUUUCUCUCUCUACAUACACAAUUCAAAAUGCAAUGGGAAUAAGAACACCGCAGGAAAUUGAUGAAGAGGAGGAUACGAAGUCUAAUGAUUCAACGUUUUAAAAAGUUUCUGACUGUGUAGAUAAAAAGAGUCUGGAGAUGCCGGGGAUCGAACCCGGGGCCUCAUACAUGCGAAGCAUGCGCUCUACCACUGAGCUACAUCCCCAACCCUAUAAGGUAUUCCUUUAUAACUCUUCCCAGUCCUUUGAAUCCUAUUUUUGUCCCCUG
This 1545-nucleotide transfer RNA is filed under the name Ursus maritimus (polar bear). Its description in RNAcentral is "lncRNA (ENSUMAG00000000253.1)". The record is from RNAcentral. Lineage: Eukaryota; Metazoa; Chordata; Mammalia; Carnivora; Ursidae.